Small nucleolar RNA from Rattus norvegicus (Norway rat), 137 nucleotides. Ensembl annotates it as small nucleolar RNA SNORA70. The record is from Ensembl. NCBI's taxonomy places the organism in Eukaryota, Metazoa, Chordata, Mammalia, Rodentia, Muridae.
UUGAAGAAUAUGUUUAAAACUUCCAGUGGCAAAAGAAACCUGGGUUUUUGUGUGCAGAGGCUGCAAAUGCAGUGUCCUUGGGAGUGCGUGCAGCCUGUUGCCUAUAUGAGUUACCCUAAGGGACCUUGGAGACAAUU